This 414-nucleotide ribosomal RNA is filed under the name uncultured bacterium. RNAcentral's name for it is "bacterial SSU rRNA". It matches the Rfam family "Bacterial small subunit ribosomal RNA", at positions 30 to 444 of the family's 1533-position model. The record is from RNAcentral.
AUUGAACGCUGGCGGCAGGCCUAACACAUGCAAGUCGAGCGGUAGAGAGGUGCUUGCAUCUCUUGAGAGCGGCGGACGGGUGAGUAAUGCCUAGGAAUCUGCCUAGUGGUGGGGGAUAACGUUCGGAAACGGACGCUAAUACCGCAUACGUCCUACGGGAGAAAGCGGGGGAUCUUCGGACCUCGCGCCAUUAGAUGAGCCUAGGUCGGAUUAGCUAGUUGGUGAGGUAAUGGCUCACCAAGGCGACGAUCCGUAACUGGUCUGAGAGGAUGAUCAGUCACACUGGAACUGAGACACGGUCCAGACUCCUACGGGAGGCAGCAGUGGGGAAUAUUGGACAAUGGGCGAAAGCCUGAUCCAGCCAUGCCGCGUGUGUGAAGAAGGUCUUCGGAUUGUAAAGCACUUUAAGUUGGG